CGGCGGCGCGGCGGGACUCACCGGGGACGCGCUCUCCGCCGAGGUGUGGAAGCAGCUGUGGCCGGCCAACAGGCGGCGGCAGAGGGAGUUCUUCUGCUUCGGCAUGGACAUCCUGCUCAAGCUCGACCUCGAGGGGACGCGCCGCUUCUUCGACGCCUUCUUCGACCUCGAGCCGCACUACUGGCACGGCUUCCUGUCGUCCAGGCUGUUCCUGCCGGAGCUCCUGAUGUUCGGGCUCACGCUGUUCGGGAACGCCUCCAACACGUCCAGGCUCGAGAUCAUGGCCAAGGGCACC
This 295-nucleotide long non-coding RNA is filed under the name Setaria italica (foxtail millet). RNAcentral describes it as "long non-coding RNA (SITA_LNC000130)". The record is from RNAcentral. Lineage: Eukaryota; Viridiplantae; Streptophyta; Magnoliopsida; Poales; Poaceae.